RNAcentral lists this long non-coding RNA (232 nucleotides) under Elaeis guineensis (African oil palm). RNAcentral's name for it is "long non-coding RNA (EGUI_LNC045397)". The record is from RNAcentral. Lineage: Eukaryota; Viridiplantae; Streptophyta; Magnoliopsida; Arecales; Arecaceae.
AUCAGAUAGUACAACAGAGUCAUCAUAUGAUGAAUAAUAAUUCCAUCAUUUAGAGAGAAUACUAGAUGGAUGGCACCUGUAAUGUCAAUCAAAAAUAAUGGAUCCAUUAUUAUUCACCUUAAUGGGAUGCUAUAAUCUAGUUAUCCCCAUAACUAGCAUAUUUUAUGAACCUAAUAAUUUAGAGGAUCUAAGAAUCAGUUUAGAGAAAAGAUGAGAAGAGAUCAAUAAGUAA